CUGCGGAGGGAUCAUUACAGAGAACAUCGCCCUCACAGGGGUGACUCUCCAACCCUAUGUUAUUAAAACCUUUGUUGCUUUGGCGAGCCGCUUCGGCCACCGGCUCUUGCUGGUGCGCGCUCGCCAAAGGACCACAAACUCUGUUUAUUAGUGUCGUCUGAGUACUAUAUAUAAUAGUUAAAACUUUCAACAACGGAUCUCUUGGUUCUGGCAUCGAUGAAGAACGCAGCGAAAUGCGAUAAGUAAUGUGAAUUGCAGAAUUCAGUGAAUCAUCGAAUCUUUGAACGCACAUUGCGCCCCGUGGUAUUCCGCGGGGCAUGCCUGUUCGAGCGUCAGUACAACACUCAAGCUCUGCUUGGUAUUGGACCGCAUCAGUUCUGAUCGAUCUUAAAAUCAGUGGCGGUGCCAUCGUGCUCUAAGCGUAGUAAUACUCCUCGCUACAGGGCCUCGGUGCGUACUUUUCAGCAACCCCCAACUUUCUAAGUUUGACCUCGGAUCAGGUAGGGAUACCCGCUGAACUUAAGCAUAUCAAAAGCGGGAAGGAAAUGCUGCUUUCUAAACCUUACCUCUAUUGACAAUCUUGACCUCAAAUCAGGUAGGACUACCCGCUGAACUUAAGCAUAUCAAUAAGCGGAGGAAAACCCAAAACGGGUCAGAAACUCUCAACGCGGGAUCUCCUUGGUUUCUGGCUCGAUGAAGAAACGCAACGAAACGCUAAUAA
RNAcentral lists this small RNA (721 nucleotides) under Helotiales sp. SB53. Its description in RNAcentral is "eukaryotic LSU rRNA". The stretch from base 182 to 335 matches the Rfam family "5.8S ribosomal RNA". Lineage: Eukaryota; Fungi; Ascomycota; Leotiomycetes; Helotiales. The record is from RNAcentral.